GUAUCAAUCGUUGCCCCCGGUAGCUCAGUGGUAGAGCACCUGCAUUUGCGUGUGUAAGGCCGAGGGAGCAUUGUCAGUGUUGUCGCUGGUUCGAAUCCUGCCCGAUGGCU
Meloidogyne enterolobii is the source of this 110-nucleotide non-coding RNA. Lineage: Eukaryota; Metazoa; Nematoda; Chromadorea; Rhabditida; Meloidogynidae. The record is from the annotation of a GenBank genome assembly.